Molecule: ribosomal RNA, 354 nt
Filed under: uncultured beta proteobacterium
Lineage: Bacteria; Pseudomonadati; Pseudomonadota; Betaproteobacteria
Description: bacterial SSU rRNA
Rfam family: Bacterial small subunit ribosomal RNA
Source: RNAcentral
UACGUAGGGUGCGAGCGUUAAUCGGAAUUACUGGGCGUAAAGAGUGCGCAGGCGGCUCUCUAAGACAGGUGUGAAAUCCCCGGGCUUAACCUGGGAAUGGCGCUUGUGACUGGAGAGCUAGAGUGUGGCAGAGGGGAAUGGAAUUCCUGGUGUAGCAGUGAAAUGCGUAGAUAUCAGGAGGAACACCGAUGGCGAAGGCAGUUCCCUGGGCCAACACUGACGCUCAUGCACGAAAGCGUGGGGAGCAAACAGGAUUAGAUACCCUGGUAGUCCACGCCCUAAACGAUGUCAACUAGUUGUUGGGGAAGGAGACUUCUUUAGUAACGUAGCUAACGCGUGAAGUUGACCGCCUGG